GACGUAGGGCGCGAGCGUUGUCCGGAUUUAUUGGGCGUAAAGAGCUCGUAGGCGGCUCGUCGCGUCGACUGUGAAAACCCACGGCUUAACUGUGGGCUUGCAGUCGAUACGGGCAGGCUAGAGUUCGGUAGGGGAGACUGGAAUUCCUGGUGUAGCGGUGAAAUGCGCAGAUAUCAGGAGGAACACCGGUGGCGAAGGCGGGUCUCUGGGCCGAUACUGACGCUGAGGAGCGAAAGCGUGGGGAGCGAACAGG
This 253-nucleotide ribosomal RNA is filed under the name uncultured bacterium. RNAcentral describes it as "partial 16S ribosomal RNA". It matches the Rfam family "Bacterial small subunit ribosomal RNA", at positions 524 to 776 of the family's 1533-position model. The record is from RNAcentral.